GUGCUUGCUUCACCAUCACAUAUACUAAAAACUGGAACAUACAGAGAAAAUUAGCAUGGCCCAUACACAA
This 70-nucleotide small nuclear RNA is filed under the name Cervus elaphus hippelaphus. Lineage: Eukaryota; Metazoa; Chordata; Mammalia; Artiodactyla; Cervidae. The record is from RNAcentral.